GAUGAACGCUGGCGGCGUGCCUAAUACAUGCAAGUCGAGCGAACGGACGAGAAGCUUGCUUCUCUGAUGUUAGCGGCGGACGGGUGAGUAACACGUGGAUAACCUACCUAUAAGACUGGGAUAACUUCGGGAAACCGGAGCUAAUACCGGAUGAUAUUUUGAACCGCAUGGUUCAAAAGUGAAAGACGGUCUUGCUGUCACUUAUAGAUGGAUCCGCGCUGCAUUAGCUAGUUGGUAAGGUAACGGCUUACCAAGGCAACGAUGCAUAGCCGACCUGAGAGGGUGAUCGGCCACACCGGAACUGAGACACGGUCCAGACUCCUACGGGAGGCAGCAGUAGGGAAUCUUCCGCAAUGGGCGAAAGCCUGACGGAGCAACGCCGCGUGAGUGAUGAAGGUCUUCGGAUCGUAAAACUCUGUUAUUAGGGAAGAACAUAUGUGUAAGUAACUGUGCACAUCUUGACGGUACCUAAUCAGAAAGCCACGGCUAACUACGUG
Molecule: ribosomal RNA, 497 nt
Filed under: uncultured bacterium
Lineage: Bacteria
Description: partial 16S ribosomal RNA
Rfam family: Bacterial small subunit ribosomal RNA
Source: RNAcentral